Molecule: small RNA, 221 nt
Filed under: Pseudomonas aeruginosa
Lineage: Bacteria; Pseudomonadati; Pseudomonadota; Gammaproteobacteria; Pseudomonadales; Pseudomonadaceae
Also listed under: 1 other name
Description: P11
Rfam family: Pseudomonas sRNA P11 (bases 85-221)
About the family: P11 is located between a putative threonine protein kinase and putative nitrate reductase and appears to be conserved in several Pseudomonas species. P11 has a predicted Rho independent terminator at the 3'end but the function of P11 is unknown.
Source: RNAcentral
CAGCCCGGUGCGAUACGCCCCGGCACGGAGCAGAAAGACCGCGGUGAGGCCCCGCGUUAUCCCUGCAAGGCCAUGGAGAUAGGCAAUAGCGCAAGUUGGCACGGCGCCUGCUUGGGUUCUCCCGACAAUCGACAACAAAGCGCCUGCCUCAACGACGAGGCGGCGUUUCCCGACCGAACGGGACCUGGACAAAGGCGUCCUGCUGGCAACAGCGGGACGCC